RNAcentral lists this ribosomal RNA (414 nucleotides) under uncultured bacterium. RNAcentral describes it as "bacterial SSU rRNA". It matches the Rfam family "Bacterial small subunit ribosomal RNA", at positions 496 to 907 of the family's 1533-position model. The record is from RNAcentral.
GGGAAUUCGAUUGUGCCAGCAGCCGCGGUAAUACGGAGGGAGCUAGCGUUGUUCGGAAUUACUGGGCGUAAAGCGUACGUAGGCGGUUAUUCAAGUCAGAGGUGAAAGCCCGGGGCUCAACCCCGGAACUGCCUUUGAAACUAGGUAGCUAGAGUCUUGGAGAGGUCAGUGGAAUUCCGAGUGUAGAGGUGAAAUUCGUAGAUACUCGGAAGAACACCAGUGGCGAAGGCGACUGACUGGACAAGUACUGACGCUGAGGUACGAAAGCGUGGGGAGCAAACAGGAUUAGAUACCCUGGUAGUCCACGCCGUAAACGAUGAUAACUAGCUGUCCGGGCACUUGGUGUUUGGGUGGCGCAGCUAACGCAUUAAGUUAUCCGCCUGGGGAGUACGGUCGCAAGAUAAAACUCAAGAA